UACGUAGGGGGCAAGCGUUGUCCGGAUUUAUUGGGCGUAAAGCGCGUGUAGGCGGUUCAAUAGGUCCGAUGUGAAAACUCGAGGCUCAACUUCGAGAGGCCAUCGGAAACCAUUGGACUAGAGUCCGGAAGAGGAGAGUGGAAUUCCUGGUGUAGCGGUGAAAUGCGCAGAUAUCAGGAGGAACACCGAUGGCGAAGGCAGCUCUCUGGGACGGUACUGACGCUAAGACGCGAAAGCGUGGGGAGCGAACAGGAUUAGAUACCCUGGUAGUCCACGCCGUAAACGAUGGGCACUAGGUGUGGGUGGUGUCGACUCCAUCCGUGCCGCAGCUAACGCAUUAAGUGCCCCGCCUGGGGAGUACGGCCGCAAGGCUA
Molecule: ribosomal RNA, 374 nt
Filed under: uncultured Gaiellaceae bacterium
Lineage: Bacteria; Bacillati; Actinomycetota; Thermoleophilia; Gaiellales; Gaiellaceae
Description: bacterial SSU rRNA
Rfam family: Bacterial small subunit ribosomal RNA
Source: RNAcentral